CGUUCAGCUUCCUGAGCAGCA
Molecule: small nuclear RNA, 21 nt
Filed under: Arabidopsis thaliana (thale cress)
Lineage: Eukaryota; Viridiplantae; Streptophyta; Magnoliopsida; Brassicales; Brassicaceae
Description: snRNA_09438
Source: RNAcentral